Molecule: ribosomal RNA, 409 nt
Filed under: uncultured soil bacterium
Lineage: Bacteria
Description: bacterial SSU rRNA
Rfam family: Bacterial small subunit ribosomal RNA
Source: RNAcentral
AGAACGAACGCUGGCGGCAUGCCUAAUACAUGCAAGUCGAACGAACACUUCGGUGUUAGUGGCGCACGGGUGCGUAACGCGUGGGAAUCUGCCCUUGGGUUCGGAAUAACAGUUGGAAAUGACUGCUAAUACCGGAUGAUAUCGAAAGAUCAAAGAUUUAUCGCCCAGGGAUGAGCCCGCGUAGGAUUAGCUAGUUGGUGAGGUAAAGGCUCACCAAGGCGACGAUCCUUAGCUGGUCUGAGAGGAUGAUCAGCCACACUGGGACUGAGACACGGCCCAGACUCCUACGGAGGCAGCAGUAGGGAAUAUUGGACAAGUGGGCGAAAGCCUGAUCCGAAGCCAAUCGCCGCGUAGAGUGAUGAAGGCCGUUAGGUUGUAAAGUCUCUUCGUACCGAGACUGAUAGUAAAA